UUGGGCGUAAAGCGAGCGCAGGCGGUUAGAUAAGUCUGAAGUUAAAGGCUGUGGCUUAACCAUAGUACGCUUUGGAAACUGUUUAACUUGAGUGCAGAAGGGGAGAGUGGAAUUCCAUGUGUAGCGGUGAAAUGCGUAGAUAUAUGGAGGAACACCGGUGGCGAAAGCGGCUCUCUGGUCUGUAACUGACGCUGAGGCUCGAAAGCGUGGGGAGCGAACAGGAUUAGAUACCCUGGUAGUCCACGCCGUAAACGAUGAGUGCUAGGUGUUAGGCCCUUUCCGGGGCUUAGUGCCGCAGCUAACGCAUUAAGCACUCCGCCUGGGGAGUACGACCGCAAGGUUGAAACUCAAAGGAAUUGACGGGGGCCCGCACAAGCGGUGGAGCAUGUGGUUUAAUUCGAAGCAACGCGAAGAACCUUACCAGGUCUUGACAUCCCGAUGCCCGCUCUAGAGAUAGAGUUUUACUUCGGUACAUCGGUGACAGGUGGUGCAUGGUUGUCGUCAGCUCGUGUCGUGA
RNAcentral lists this ribosomal RNA (517 nucleotides) under uncultured bacterium. RNAcentral's name for it is "bacterial SSU rRNA". It matches the Rfam family "Bacterial small subunit ribosomal RNA", at positions 554 to 1070 of the family's 1533-position model. The record is from RNAcentral.